RNAcentral lists this ribosomal RNA (301 nucleotides) under uncultured bacterium. RNAcentral describes it as "partial 16S ribosomal RNA". It matches the Rfam family "Bacterial small subunit ribosomal RNA", at positions 509 to 807 of the family's 1533-position model. The record is from RNAcentral.
CAGCCGCCACGGUAAAACGUAGGUGGCAAGCGUUGUCCGGAAUUAUUGGGCGUAAAGGGCUCGCAGGCGGUUUCUUAAGUCUGAUGUGAAAGCCCCCGGCUCAACCGGGGAGGGUCAUUGGAAACUGGGAAACUUGAGUGCAGAAGAGGAGAGUGGAAUUCCACGUGUAGCGGUGAAAUGCGUAGAGAUGUGGAGGAACACCAGUGGCGAAGGCGACUCUCUGGUCUGUAACUGACGCUGAGGAGCGAAAGCGUGGGGAGCGAACAGGAUUAGAGACCCCGGUAGUCCCUGUCUCUUAUAC